UGAAUUAUGUGGCAGCUGGCCAGCGUUUGCUAACCAGUCGCCACACGAGAAAAGUAAAAUAAAAAUAAACAGACAUACAUAUGAUUUUGACUUAUUUGCAUUUUUUAAUGUGGCAGCUGGCUAGUGAAUGCAGGCCAGCUGCCACAUAAUUAA
Pelobates cultripes (western spadefoot toad) is the source of this 153-nucleotide non-coding RNA. Lineage: Eukaryota; Metazoa; Chordata; Amphibia; Anura; Pelobatidae. The record is from the annotation of a GenBank genome assembly.